Podarcis muralis (Common wall lizard) is the source of this 1084-nucleotide long non-coding RNA. RefSeq lists it as uncharacterized. The record is from RefSeq and is a predicted model, not a curated record. Lineage: Eukaryota; Metazoa; Chordata; Lepidosauria; Squamata; Lacertidae.
GGAGGCGGGAAUGGGGUGGAGGGACACCCGCUGCCCACUCCCUUUUCUGGGCAGACCCGCAAGGGAGGGAGGAGGGCGCCUGCUGCAAUUAAGGCUCCCACAUGGCGACCACCGCUCAGCAGCCGCCCAGUCAGCUCGCCUGGGGAAAGGGGUUCAGGGGGCUAGCCCAGCUCGCCCUCCCCGAAGGCUGCGUGGCGGAUCCUCCCCCGCCCGGCUUUCCCGCCGUUUCGCCUCCCGCUCCCCUCGCGCGCACCCCUCCUCCUCCUCCUCCUCCUCCUCCUCGCACGUGGCUCUUCACGAAAUAAUUAUUUGGGAAAAAGAACCCUGACAGGAGGAGCCCGCCUUCAAUUAUUUAUGCCGACAACAAACCCAAAACGAGAUGGGGAAUCAAUCUACAGUCCUCCAGAUAUCGUUGGACUCCGCCAUCCCUGACCAUUGGUCAUGCUGGCUGGGGCUGAUGGGAGUUGGGAUUCAACUCAAUCCGCAUUCCUGAUUUAUACAGACUUCCUUUCAUCCGAAGUGGAUCACUUACACUUCACCAGGACCAAGACGAGUAGCGCUGACAACAUCACAAAGCAGAUGGCUACCAAGACAUAGAGGAUGGAGACAUGAAUUCUUCUGCUGUUUUUCCUUUGCGGAGACUCAGCAUUGGCAGGAGCUGUAGAAGUGAAGAUUAGUGGAAGCGUUUUAUUUGCAACAUUUAAAAAAUAAAUAAACAGAAGGAACAAAUGGUGACCUCCCCUUUUCAAAUGAAUAACAAAGGGGGUCAAAGUCAUGUAACAUGUGUGAGUGAAAUAGUGAGUGUGCAUGUGUUUGUGCACAAUCACAGCAAGGUUGCCAAAUUCUAUUCUGAGUUCCAGGGGGAGACAAGCUGUCUCUGUGCAUAGGUUGGGCCACCUCAACUGAAAAAGGAACCACAUAAAUUGGGAAACAACAUAAAUGAGUCUGGACAAUGCUCCUUUAUUUAAAUUUUAUUUUUUAUUUUUACCUGUUAUAUAAGCAAAGGCUCAAAAUAUUAGAUCUUUUCAUGUUGAAAAAGUAAUGCUGAAGGUGAGGGUAAAUCAGUACUAAACCAUCUAAAACA